This 261-nucleotide ribosomal RNA is filed under the name uncultured prokaryote. RNAcentral describes it as "partial 16S ribosomal RNA". It matches the Rfam family "Bacterial small subunit ribosomal RNA", at positions 505 to 765 of the family's 1533-position model. The record is from RNAcentral.
GUGUCAGCAGCCGCGGUAAUACGGAGGGUGCGAGCGUUAAUCGGAAUUACUGGGCGUAAAGCGCAUGCAGGUGGUUAGUUAAGUCAGAUGUGAAAGCCCGGGGCUCAACCUCGGAAUUGCAUUUGAAACUGGCUGACUAGAGUACUGUAGAGGGGGGUAGAAUUUCAGGUGUAGCGGUGAAAUGCGUAGAGAUCUGAAGGAGUACCGGUGGCGAAGGCGGCCCCCUGGACAGAUACUGACACUCAGAUGCGAAAGCGUGGG